Long non-coding RNA from Zootoca vivipara (common lizard), 4016 nucleotides. RefSeq lists it as uncharacterized. Lineage: Eukaryota; Metazoa; Chordata; Lepidosauria; Squamata; Lacertidae. The record is from RefSeq and is a predicted model, not a curated record.
UGUCGUCUGCGCGCGCCUGUUUACGGAUCUACACAGCUUCGGCUCGAACGAUGCGCGCGCCUUACCUGUUGCUCUGCAAUGCCACCUAUUCUUUUUGCUGCUAAUGCGGCAAUAAGUCGCGUUCCCAGGUUGGGCUGCGCUUCUUUACCUCGAGAGCUCCGCCUUUGAGCGAAUAAGCGCAGGGUUCAGAUUCACCAAUUGCUGCAGAAAUAUGGAGAACUGAAUUUAAGAUUGGAAAAUUGGGAAACCCAGAGAAGCAACAUUGACAGAUCCUUCCACCUGUAUUAGCUAGGAUAGCUGUCUUCUGCUUCCACUGUCAGAGGAAGAUGUCUGAGAUGCCAUUCCCAAAUUCUGCCCCUGAGCAGAGGCUCCUCUGUGCUCACACCCACCCCAACGCCAACUGGAUCACAGAAUUCGUCAUGCGAAAGGCUGGACUAGAUGAAUCCCAAGCCGGAAUUAAGAUUGCCGGAAGAAAUAUCAACAACCUCAGAUAUGCAGAUGACACAACCUUUUGAAGGCAGAAAGUGAGGAGGAAUUAAGGAAGCUUUUAAUGAGGGUGAAAGAGGAGAGCGCAAAAUAUGGUCUGAAGCUCAACAUCAAAAAAACCAAGAUCAUGGCCACUGGUCCCAUCACCUCCUGGCAAAUAGAAGGGGAAGAAAUGGAGGCAGUGAGAGAUUUUACUUUCUUGGGCUCCUUGAUCACUGCAGAUGGUGACAGCAGUCACGAAAUUAAAAGACGCCUGCUUCUUGGGAGAAAAGCAAUGACAAACCUAGACAGCAUCUUAAAAAGCAGAGUCAUCACCUUGCCGACAAAGGUCCGUAUGGUUAAAGCUAUGGUUUUCCCAGUAGUGAUGUAUGGAAGUGAGAGCUGGACCAUAAAGAAGGCUGAUCACCAAAGAAUUGAUGCUUUUGAAUUAUGGUGCUGGAGGAGACUCUUGAGAGUCCCAUGGACUGCAAGAAGAUCAAACCUAUCCAUUCUUCAGGAAAUCAGCCCUGAGUGCUCACUGGAAGGACAGAUCGUGAAGCUCCAACACUUUGGCCACCUCAUGAGAAGAGAAGACUCCCUGGAAAAGACCCUGAUGUUGGGAAAGAUUGAGGGCACUAGGAGAAGGGGACGACAGAGGAUGAGAUGGUUGGACAGUGUUCUCGAAGCUACGAACAUGAGUUUGACCAAACUGCAGGAGGCAGUGCAAGACAGGAGUGCCUGGCGUGCUAUGGUCCAUGGGGUCACGAAGAGUCGGACACGACUAAACGACUAAACAACAACACAAUAAUAACACACAAUAAUAACACACAUCUCUCUAUCCUUCAUCCAGGCAAGCAAAAGGUAUUAUCAGAGAUCAAGGGAUAAUGUCCAGCCAGGCAAAAGUACUCAAGGACAGUAUAAGCAGGACUGGUGAGUGCUAUAGCCUAGAGCAGGAAUAGGCAAACUACAGCCCUCCAGAUGUUUUGGGACUACAACUCCCAUGAUCCCUAGAUAACAGGACCAGUGGUCAGGGAUGAUGGGAAUUGUAGUCCCAAAACAUCUGGAGGGCGAGUUUGCCUAUGCCUGGCCUAGAGACCUAAGGCCAGGCAGAGGGGUAUGACAGGCUGAAUACAGCCCCUGAGUGUAAGGUUCCUAACCCCUGAUUUCCCCGUGCCUGAUUCCUGGCUGGCUCACAACUCCAAGCAGCCUAAGGAUUAGAUACUAACUUUGUGGGUUUCUAUUUUGGAAGCCUGCAUAGGUCACCUUUCUCAACAAAGAGGCUGUGCCAAAGUGCCAGAUUUCGAGGAAGAUCUAGGCCUCUUUUAUUGUCUAGUUCGGGUCUCUUCCGCAUGCCCUCAAUGAGAGAAGAAAAGCAUAUGCCUACUGCUCGCCAGUAGAUGGUAGCACAGGCUUUGGCACAAGAAAGGCUCUUGGCUAUUGUUAUUUGCAGCUGUUGCAUUGGAUACAGUUGUGGGCUUGUGAAGGGGAGAUGUUCAGUUUGGAGAUCUGACACCCAUCAUUCUUGUGACUGGAAAUCUCCAUGGAAGUCUGUCCUCAUGCCAACUAGACAGGGCAUAACAAUAACAUGAGUCUUGCUGGAUCAAUGUGAAGAUUCGUCUAGAUCCAGCAUCCUCUUGUUCAUAGUGGCCAGCCAGACUUACUCUUUAAUUUUGCUUAUUACAAAUAUUUGUAACCCCCUAUAUGGAUGGCAUGGCAUAAAAUGAAUAGACGAUGCAAUGGUGGAAAUACUGGAAAGUGUGGGAUAACACUUGCUUUGAUACAAGGCCAUUUCUUUUGGAAGACAAGCUGGAUUACACAUACUGUAACUUGGAGAGUGAAUCAGGGCCUCUUUACUUCAUCUUAAAGUCUGGAGCAGUUCUUAGGGUAGGAGGUGUUUUUCCAGAUGAAUGUGGCUUCAUUAAGAGACUCGGGCUGUGACCCCCAUGUAUCUCAAUCUGUCCAUACUUUUCCACUGCCCUCCCUCUCUCACCCAGCUUAUCUAGGGAACUGAACCAUCUCAUGGCUAUUGGUGGAGCCCCGUUGUGGUCUAAACCACUGAACCUCUUGGGCUUGCUGAUUCGAAGAUUGGCGGUUUGAAUCCGUUUGACGGGGUAAGCUCCUGUUGCUCUGCCCCAGCUUCUGGGAGCCUAGCAGUUUGAAAGCACGCCAGUGCAAGUAGAUAAAUAGGUACCACUGCGGCAGAAAAGUAAACAGCAUUUCCGUGCGCUUUGGUUUCCACCACGGGGUUCCAUUGCGCCAGAAGCAUUUUAGUCCUGCUGGCCACAUGACCCGGAAAGCUGUCUGUGGACAAAUGCCGGCUCCCUCGGCCUGAAAGAGAGAUGAACGCCGCAACCCCAUAGUCAGACUUAACCAUCAUCUAGGGGUCACUUUCCUUAAAUUUUUUUUUAAAAAAAAACCUUUUAUACAUUCAAAGCAAUAUCAUGCCACUUCAAACAUUCAUGGUUUCCCCCCAAGAAUUAUGGGUGAGGCCUGUAAUUUGUUAAGGGUGCUAAGAGUUGUUAGAAGACCCCUCUUCCCCUCACAAAGCUACCAUUCCCAGAGCAAUUUAUCAAUCAAUCCUUCUUCCUAGGGAACUCUGGGAAUGGUAACACUAUGAGGGGAAUAGGGCUCUCCUAACGACUGGACCUAAUGGUCAGGGGUCCCUUUACCUUUUUUAACACCUCUCAGCACCCUCAACAAACUACAGCUCCCAGAAUUCUUUGGGGGAAGUGUCAGUGAGAGAGAAUAUAUCCCCUAAGCUAGCCUGCUGCUCUAGGGCACAGUGAAGGCUGCUGUUCCAUCACAAGGCUGUGGGGAGGAAUUAGACUCAGUGUACCUUUAAACCAAAAUCUAAAGUGAAGAAAUACUCAAAUUGAAACACAGCCAUCUUUUGAAAUCUGCACUUACCCAAUUUUUGCAAAUCCAGUUCCCCAACCAGUGUUUACAAAAAUGCAUCUAUUAGGGGAAAGUGUGCAUAAAAUAUACAACAAUCCAUUUUAUUCGGGGGGAAUGGCUUUCAAAAAUAUGUACAUUUAGUAAAAACUGUGUAUAAAAAAUGGGUUUGUUGGGAGAAAUCUGCACUAAAAUGCUGAUGAUCUUUCAUGAGGAUCUUUUUUUUAAUUACAAAUUGCUGCAAAAUGUGCAGAACUGAAUUUAAGAUGGGAAAAAAAUGAGAAACAGAGAGCAAUAAAACUUACAGAUCUUCCUGUCCCUAAUCCAUCUCUAUCUGUCCCUAUCAGCCCAGGUGGCUUCUGUACCUAGAAUGGGGACACCCACCCACACAUACAUACCAUUAUCUACUUUGGUUUAGAUCAGAGGCAGAUUUAGGGUAGCGCAACCGGUUUGAUCACACUGGAUGCAAAGCCUUGGAGGCACCCUAGGAGAUGCCACAACUAUUAUUUAGAGUGUGAGAGAUCAAGGUUGCUGCUGGAAUUUGAGACCCCAAGGUCUGCCACUGGAGGUGUGGAACCUUUAUGCCUUAGGGCAGGGGUAGGCAACCUAAGGCCCAUGGGCCACAAGAGGCCCAUGGGGGUCGUUUAACUGGGCCCCGA